AGGAGCGGCUGGAGGCUCUCCAGGCCAGCGGCAGCGGUGGCGUGCUGGCCACCCAUUCUCGUGACCUUGCUAAGGCCCCUGUUGCUUAACUCUCUGGCAAGCCCUUGGUUUCUGGCCAUUUUCCAGACUUCAUCACUCUUCUCUGCCAAUUCUAUGAGCCCCUGAUAGCCUUCCAAUAAAUUCCACUUGAUUACCACAUGGCUUGCAAUCAAGAACCCAGCAUAACACACAACCACUUAUUAAAUACUAAGUAAGAGCCAGACACUUGACAUGUGACAUCUUGUCAGAUCCUCAAACACCCCGGUGAGGAAAGCGUUAUUAUCCCUGUUUUCCAAAUGAGGACACUGAGGCUCAGGGAGCUGGGUGAUGUGUCAAAAGUUGCCCAGCUGCAGAGUGGCAAUGCUGGAAUUUGAAGCCAGGCUUUUCUGAUUCUGAAUUCCAUGUUUUCUUACUUGCCUUUUUCUUCUGCUCCAGCUUGCAGUGCCUCGGAGAGGUGGCGCUGGCUAGCCUGGGACUUCCAACAUACAGCCUACAUUGAUGGCCUGAGACUUGUGGCAAAAAAGACUUUCAAAAUCUAAUUUGCUCACAUACAUGAACACCUGCCAGGAAGGAAUUUGAGGCCUUUGUUCUAAACAUGGAAAAGCUGAGUUCAUUUGCCCCAGAGGGGGCACCUGCAGGGAAAAGGAAAAAUGGUUUUAACCCUUUCCUUGAGUCAGAAAAUGAGGCCACCAGAUUCUCCUUUCAUCCUUCAAGUAUCAGAAAGGUCUGUGCUGUGAAUUCCACAGAUGAGAUUCAUUGCAAGAUGUGAGGGCAGAGGAAAUCCAUGGAAAUGAAAUCCACAUUCAAACUGGAUGCAUGCGUUCAGCAACUGGAAGCUGAGUUCAUAUUUCAUUGCCCAACUACCCUGACCACUUGGGAAUCGCAGGUUUGGAAGGACCCACAGCCAUUCUGUGGAAAUGGAUCUGCUUUCAGGACCGAAUCUCAGACUUCUUGGGGAAGGUUUCAGUGGCUGCCUUUGCUGUGCAGACCUGGAGAUGGGUCUGAUGAUCGGACACCUGAAUUAUCUGUGUGGCUGAGUUUCAAGAAGACCUGCUGGGGUGAAAUGAAAAUGGUGCCUACUAGAAGCCCCAGUGGCUUUGCUGGUGGAGGCUAGCUUGCUCAUGUCCUCAUACAGAAGCAGAGAUGCAAGCAAGUGAGAAGGUGGAAGGACUCAGGUCUUGGGCCUUACUCUGAGAACUAUAACACCAUUCCUUCUGCUGCAUUCUCUUGUCUAAAAUUUGCUCCUCCACUGGCUCUUCUUGUAGACACACGACUGCUACAGUAUCAAGGGUCUGAUGCAGACAUGACAAUGUCAAGAGGAAGAGGAGAGCCUCGCUCUUCCCAGGCUUUUGCUUUUAAGAGCAGAAAAACUUUCCCCAGAGUUCCACCAGCUCACUUCUCAUCUUACUUCUUUGGCCAGAACUGGCCCUUGUGCCCAUAUUGUCAGUCAAAUGCCGACAAAGGAAAGGGGCCACUAUGAGUGGUUUAGACUUGGAUUGGAUUUGUCCUUAUUGGAUUGUCCUUAAGUCCUUUGAAAAAGAAGUAUACAACAGAAUGAAAUCUUGACUCAGCUUUCAAGAAUAAAGAGGGGGAAAAUGCACACAUGCUCAAACAAUUUUGCGUCUAAUUUCGUGAACCUACUGAAGUUCGUCCAUAGAAACCCAGAGGACCAGGGCAUGAAGAACUUGUAAGCCAUGCCAUGGAAGGCAAGACUUCAUCCAGAGGGCAGUGAGGAUACUACAACAGGUAGGAAUGACUUUCAGCUCAGUAUAAAAGAGGUGCAG
Molecule: long non-coding RNA, 1823 nt
Filed under: Homo sapiens (human)
Lineage: Eukaryota; Metazoa; Chordata; Mammalia; Primates; Hominidae
Description: HSALNT0330921
Source: RNAcentral